RNAcentral lists this ribosomal RNA (543 nucleotides) under Aspergillus flavus. Its description in RNAcentral is "eukaryotic LSU rRNA". The stretch from base 173 to 326 matches the Rfam family "5.8S ribosomal RNA". The record is from RNAcentral. Lineage: Eukaryota; Fungi; Ascomycota; Eurotiomycetes; Eurotiales; Aspergillaceae.
GGUUCCUAGCGAGCCCAACCUCCCACCCGUGUUUACUGUACCUUAGUUGCUUCGGCGGGCCCGCCAUUCAUGGCCGCCGGGGGCUCUCAGCCCCGGGCCCGCGCCCGCCGGAGACACCACGAACUCUGUCUGAUCUAGUGAAGUCUGAGUUGAUUGUAUCGCAAUCAGUUAAAACUUUCAACAAUGGAUCUCUUGGUUCCGGCAUCGAUGAAGAACGCAGCGAAAUGCGAUAACUAGUGUGAAUUGCAGAAUUCCGUGAAUCAUCGAGUCUUUGAACGCACAUUGCGCCCCCUGGUAUUCCGGGGGGCAUGCCUGUCCGAGCGUCAUUGCUGCCCAUCAAGCACGGCUUGUGUGUUGGGUCGUCGUCCCCUCUCCGGGGGGGACGGGCCCCAAAGGCAGCGGCGGCACCGCGUCCGAUCCUCGAGCGUAUGGGGCUUUGUCACCCGCUCUGUAGGCCCGGCCGGCGCUUGCCGAACGCAAAUCAAUCUUUUUCCAGGUUGACCUCGGAUCAGGUAGGGAUACCCGCUGAACUUAAGCAUAUCA